GCUUUUUUUGGGGUUUUUUUGGUGAUUUUUGGGGUUUUUUUUGGUGUUUUUUUAGGGUUUUUAUGAGCUUUUUUUGGGGUUUUUUUGGUGAUUUUUGGUGUUUUUUUGAUGAUCUUUGGGUUUUUUUGAGCUUUUUUUAAUGGUCUUUUUGGGCCUUUUUUGGUGGUUUUUGGGUCAUUUUGUGCUGGAGGCGGGGGAUGUUUUUGGGGUAUUUCUGGAUAUUUUUGGGAUAAUUUUGGGGUAUUUUUGGGAUAUUUUGGGGUAUUUUUGGGAUAUUUUUGGGUAUUUUUGGGAUAUUUUUGGGUUAUUUUUGGAUAUUUUGGGACAUUUUGGGUGUCACAGCAUUUGCAGCCGGGCUGGGCGGAAUCAGGGAGCUGGAGGUGGGGGAUGUUUUUGGGAUAUUUUGGGAUAUUUUGGGAUAUUUUGGGAUAAUUUUGGGAUAUUUUUGGGAUAUUUUUGGGAUAUUUUGGGAUAUUUUUUGGAUAUUUUGGGAUAUUUUGGGGGUCACUCACAGCGUUGGCAGCCGGGCUGGGCGGGAUCGGGGAGCUGGACGUGGUGGAUGUUUCUGGGAUAUUUUAGGGAUAUUUUGGGAUAUUUUUGGGAUAAUUUUGGGAUAUUUUUGGGAUAUUUCUGGAUAAUUUUUGGAUAAUUUUUGGAUAUUUUGGGGGUCACUCACAGCGUUGGCAGCCGGGCUGGGCGGGAUCGGGGAGCUGGACGUGGUGGAGGUCGGGGUGCUGCUGCUCUGGUUGAAGAUCUCGUCCUCCAUCUGGGAGUGGCUGGGGGGGGACGUGGCCACCAGAGCCUGCGCUGGGGGGGCACGGGGGGGUCACCCUGAGCAUCCCCCCCCCCCAAAAACCCCCCGGAACCCCCCGACUUCCUCCCCAAAAAAAUCCCCU
Molecule: long non-coding RNA, 896 nt
Filed under: Lonchura striata (white-rumped munia)
Lineage: Eukaryota; Metazoa; Chordata; Aves; Passeriformes; Estrildidae
Description: domestica (Bengalese finch) lncRNA (ENSLSDG00000002780.1)
Source: RNAcentral